GCCCCUCAUGCGCACGCGCACGUUGGAAGCGUGGGGGUGAGCGCGUGUAGGGUGUGGAGGGGGAUGGCGAGGAGAACCCCUGAGGCGGGGCAGGUUGCUGAGCGGUGCCGCUGCGGGGAGCGGCGCUGGGCUUGAGGGUCAGGCGCUGUCGGAGCGCAGUUUAGCUCUGUGAAAUUGCGGCUGCUGCCAACCCUCUCUGCAACAGAUACUGAGCUGCAGCCUUCUCUGUGGGGGUGGGUGAGCGCAGCCUGGUGCCCAGUACCCCCAGGGGAGGGCUAACAUCUUCCUCGCUCGGGGAGAGUUCAGUCCCCGCACUGACUACCCUGCAGAAGUUAUCAUCGGAAGGGGGCCGCAGCUCUACUCCAACUGGUCAUGUUACUAGCAAACCAAACAGCAGUCUGGUAAAGGACAGAGAGACCAAUACUGAACGCCUAGUAUUUGCAUUACUCGCACUAUAUCUUCUGGAAAAAUCCCGUGUUAGUCAUCAUCCACACCACUGUUGGCAUCCUGCCAUCUCCCCCUCAAGGCUCGCAGGUUGGGAUACAGCCUUUAGAAUGUGUUAGGUUCAUAUAUAUUUAAGGUUUUAACCCCUUUUCCUUACUUGAACCUCCACACCCCACUACUUUGGGGUGCCCCAUUUUCCAUAGGUGAACUUGUGAGUUCCCCUUAUUAACAUUUACAUCACUUUAUCAUCAUAGUAACAGGCAGUUUACCUUAAGGAAGUCUCUAACAUUUCAUCCUAGCUACUAACGGUCAUCUCUUGUAGACACAAUAUUCCAAACACAGUUAUUUUCAAAAUAUCAGUAUAUCACAAACAGCUACAAGCUCAGCAAGUUUAUUAUUAACUUACUUAUGCUAAUUUAACUUUUUAAUAUAGCUAAUUUAUCCUAAGGUCUAAUUUGGCUAAGCUAAAUAUUUUACAAGCCUGAGACUUACACAUGAAUUAAUAUUUAUAUUUCAUCCCUAUGUCUUCAAUAUACCUGCUAUAUUUUAUCCUUGGUUACCGACCACAUAGCUAAAGCGUUUCAACAAAGGUUUGAGCAAGCUCAAACAAAUAAUCCUAUUCCUUUCCUCAUAUAGAAAGAUGUUGGUUUUGUAACCAACUACCCCUUUAAAUAUAGCAUUGCUCACAUUACUGUUUAUGCUAUAGAAUCUGUUAGACUCCAGUAGAGGUUAGGUCCCCAUUGUGCUAUGUGCUGUACAUACAAAUAAAGAGAUAGUGUUUACACUGACUAGCUUACAGUUUAAGACCUCAGUCUUGCAAACACCUACUCAGACUAGAAGUGUUUGCAGGAUUGGUGCCUGUGGCGAAUGUUAAGUAACGUGUUCAGUUAGUGUUAUUUUGUAUACGGAGUUAUAGGAAAGUGAAUCCUGUGGUUGGACAUGAAACAGUGACGUAACAUCUGAGGACUCUGUAAAUGCAUUUUGAUUGCUAGGAACCAUCUUAGAAUGUUCAGCUGAAUUCCAGCAGGUGUGGGCAAGGACCAUUGGAAGAGAGAAAGUAUAAACAGAGCACUUUAUAUAUAAUCUGUCCUAUACCUAAAACACACUCUCUUUUAGGAGUAAUGUAAAUAUAUUUUUCAAAUUUAUAUGUUUGAUUUUUAGAUGCAUAAAUUAAUUGGAUAACACUACCCAGAAUCAAAGAAAGAUUCUUUACUGAAAAUUUAAACAACUAUUAUUUCUUUUUUAAAGAAACACCACAACAUGAACUCAGGGGUUUAAAAUGUGAUGUUAAAAUGAUUGUGCUAAUAAUAGGAAGCUGAAGCUAAUGAACUGCCUAGACCAAUUAAUGAGGCACAGUCCCAACUUCUGUAAUUAAAGUUUAACUGCAUGACUUAACUGUUUCAGAUCUCUGUUUGCUCUAAUCUCCACUUUUCUGUUACUGUGGUUUCAUUAGAAUUUAGCUUUUAUAUGCGAUGUCUGGGGGAAGACUAUUAAGCAAAUUAAGAAGCUGGUUAUCACAUAAAACUUUGUUGGUAAAGAGAGAAACAUUUGCUAAUGCAUAGUAGAAAUAAUAACUCCAGAGUUUGCUGUAACUGUUUGCUGCUGGUUUAUGAUGUAAGAGUAUAUUUUGUGCAGGAUAGAUUAUAAAAAUUAUGACAAGAAUAUCCAUUUUAUUAAGUGCACUUAAUUUUGAGAUUUAUACUGUGAUAUUAGAUAGAGCUAAACACAAGGGAUUGCUUAUUAGUAUUAUUUAAAAGGAAGCAUAAGGUAGUAUGAAUAUGCAGUAACAUUUUUAUAAAGUAAAUAAUUUGCUACUGUUGUCAGUACGUAUUUGAUUUUCCAGAAGCCUAUAUCUGUAAUGAAAUGCCAAAUCUAACAUAGACAUUGCAGGACUGUUAAAAUCACUAUGAAAAUAUUCCAGCUAAUUUGAAUUUUUACGUACAGUGCACGUAAGUCAUAGCAGGAGCUGAUAAUAAGACUUUCCCCUUAAGAGUAUAUCUCAAGACUUUAAACAAAUCCUAACAGCUUUAAUCAAACUGAAUUAUUUUUACAUUAUAGUGACUUAGCCGAUGUCAUGGCAAAGGCUGUCUGAGCUCAUUGGGCUCAGCUGUGCAAAGUUUAUGUGAUGUUACUGGUUAUUUGUGAAGAUGUAAGAAAUUACUGAAUAAAUUAUACUCUAUGUCUGCA
This is a long non-coding RNA of Dermochelys coriacea (leatherback sea turtle), 2631 nucleotides long. RefSeq lists it as uncharacterized. Lineage: Eukaryota; Metazoa; Chordata; Testudines; Dermochelyidae. The transcript has 2 exons. The record is from RefSeq and is a predicted model, not a curated record.